AAUCUCCUACGGGGGGCAGCAGUGAGGAAUAUUGGUCAAUGGUCGGGAGACUGAACCAGCCAAGCCGCGUGAGGGAUGAAGGUACAGAGUAUCGUAAACCUCUUUUGUCAGGGAACAAAGGCGGGGACGUGUCCCCGGAUGAGUGUACCUGAAGAAAAAGCAUCGGCUAACUCCGUGCCAGCAGCCGCGGUAAUACGGAGGAUGCGAGCGUUAUCCUGAUUUAUUGGGUUUAAAGGGUGUGCAGGCGGUCUGUUAAGUUAGCGGUGAAAGCCCGGGGCCCAACCCCGGCCC
Molecule: ribosomal RNA, 291 nt
Filed under: uncultured bacterium
Lineage: Bacteria
Description: partial 16S ribosomal RNA
Rfam family: Bacterial small subunit ribosomal RNA
Source: RNAcentral